Nelumbo nucifera (sacred lotus) is the source of this 856-nucleotide RNA transcript. RefSeq lists it as uncharacterized. NCBI's taxonomy places the organism in Eukaryota, Viridiplantae, Streptophyta, Magnoliopsida, Proteales, Nelumbonaceae. The record is from RefSeq and is a predicted model, not a curated record.
GUGGCAGCUGGCAACUUUGUAUUCUGGUACCACAGGUCCACAGCCCACAGCCACAACUACUCUUUUUCCAUGGGUUUAUGAAGGGUUUUUUCUGACAACGUGUGUGUUCGAGCGAUCUAGGGAGAGAGAGCCCUUCCAAUCUUGAAGGUGGACGAAUCUGAUAAUGGAUAAUCCAAACGAUCCUUCUCUGAGAUGUCCUCACUGUGCUGGUCCUCUCUCCAAAGAUAUGGAAACUAGUAGUUGGACUGUUUCACCAUUAAUCAGGGACAGUUUUUCUUUGAUUGGUACUGCUGUUGGGGGCACGGCGAGCGCGUUCUAUGGAUUUAACCAUGCAAUGCCAAUUGUUCAAAGGUGGAUUAAGGGGCCUAUGUGGUUACAUUUUCUCAUAGGUGCUCCGCCUGUCAUAGUUUUUUCUUCAACUUGUGCUGGAUUGGCAGGUGGUGCAGUUCCUGCUCUAGCCCAACUUGUAUCUUCAUCUUAUCAUGCGGCCAUUUCAAAUUCAUCAUUGCCACCAGCUUCUUCACAGGAUGACAAGAAGAUGCAUAAAUCGAGAACCUCUUCUACCCUCUAAUUUAUUCAGUCUUCAUUGAGAUUUAGAGUGCCCAAUAAAACUUGGGAUCCGAGCCCACUCCACUGAGGAAUUGGGACCUUGGAUCGGAUGUAACAUCUCAGAAAAGUGGAAAGCUUUUUUCACUUUUUCAAUCGGAAUUGGCGUUGCUUCAACUGCAAUAAACACGAGCUCAUCAAUAGAAUAGAUUAGAGGUGAUUUCACAUUUCAGAUUCAAUACACCCCUGUCCGAAAUUCUAGGCAUGAUGCCAUUGUAUUGUAUAUCAUAUAAAUAAAUGGACAUUGAUU